Molecule: ribosomal RNA, 813 nt
Filed under: Triticum aestivum (bread wheat)
Lineage: Eukaryota; Viridiplantae; Streptophyta; Magnoliopsida; Poales; Poaceae
Description: partial small subunit ribosomal RNA
Source: RNAcentral
AUGGAAUGGCCGGUUCCUCAGGAGACCAAAAUCUGGUUGCGUGGGGUGUCCACGCUCCCUUCGCGACCAUAUCCACAUAAGGGGAUCAUUGUUAAACCUGUUGGUGUGAGGGCCUUGGUGGUUAUUCCAGAAGGCACAAUCCCGCCACGACAGCCAAGCACCAUCAUUGGAUGUCUUUGUAGGCAUUAUUACCCCGGCCUACUUCCCAUAGGAGACGGUGAGGAGGAGCCAGCUUGGUCUUGGGAGCACUGGAAACGCGCUCCAGAUACGGAAGACAAGUGGGACAGGGAGUACCGCAGUGCUGCUGAGUGGGUGGUCAACGAUUUUUGGGACUUCUUUACUUGCGUUGAGGGUAUGGAGGAUGAAGCUAAUGAGGUUGUGGAGGAGAUUGCCAAGAAGAUUGUCCAAGACAUGCCUUACGAGGCUCGUGUCAAUGCUGUGGUAAAGUAUUUCGCGCAUGAACGCAAGAUGCUUCUUAAAAAGCUGCUAGCCCGGAGAGUGCAUCUCACCCGUUCCAUGUACAUGAAGGCGGUUCCCCCAUGGUGCAACAACAAGAUUCCUUGCUACCAGCAAAUCAUAUCCAGGUGGAUAAACCCAGAGUGGAGGGCCACAUACAGAGCAGCUUCGGAGCGACGUGCCUUGAUGGGUGGUCCGGUACACCUUCAUGGCAACCUCAACCUCCAUGCUUACGUGCAGAAGAAGAAUAGGGAGAGAGGUGAGGGUGAAGAGCCGCUCAAUACCUUCACGGGAUUAUGUCUCUCCCGCAAGUCAAAGAAACCGGAAGGGGGUGGGUCAACCCAGGGGCUGGAUUGA